UCAAUGAGCAUUCCGCCCAUUCGUUCUUAUAUGACCCCAUAUUAGCCAGCUUGCCAAAGAAACUCAGUGACGCUACAGUCCGCCGCUCUCCCCUUGAGAGCGUACUAUUGCUUAAUAAAUCCCCACUCUACGUGUUUGACCUCCAUCUCUCGUCUCUGAAUUCUUUCUGUGAUGGGACAAGGACCUGCUCUCCAGGAACAUGGCAACAUAGACAUUCAAUCCAGUGCAGGUCCAAGUACUUGGGCUACAGCAGAGAGAAACUGACAAAAUUCCUGACCCUGUGACACGGUCUGGUCGUAGGAGACAUUCAGUUAAGCAAUAAGCGUAAUAGCAUCUAAUGUCAGGGCGGUGGCAUAAUUAACAAAUGGCCGUGAACGAAGAAAAUGAAGAAAAGGACAGUAUUUAUGUUUGGCAUCAGGAAAGGAGGAUGGAGGUUGGAGAAAAGAUGGAUGAGAACCAGCCUUCGCUUAGUGAAGUUACAUGAAGAACUCUGGGAAGGCUGUGCCUGGACCUGGGGAUCGGGCUGAUCUGACUGCUAACUUCAUUCAGCCUUUCCUGCUGGGAGAGGAUGGCUUCAAUAAAACAGCGGUAGAAACUUACUUGCACAGUGGCCUUCCUGUCACGAGAUGGCAAAAUUCUACAUAGAGAGCAUCUCGCUUGGGAAAAUGUUCAUAUAAGAAAUAAAGUCUGGCUUCCUGCUAGAUAAUUAGGAGCUGAGGUCAUGCUCUGGGUCACUCAAAAGGUAAUUCCCAUUUGUUACUAGGUUUAAACUCAACCCAAGUGAGUUGUAUUUCCGAUCGCCA
Molecule: long non-coding RNA, 803 nt
Organism: Camelus dromedarius (Arabian camel)
Lineage: Eukaryota; Metazoa; Chordata; Mammalia; Artiodactyla; Camelidae
Exons: 3
Source: RefSeq, a predicted model, not a curated record